AUGUCCUCUGAUUCUUCUGACGCAGGAAGGGCAAAGCCGUCUGCUCCUACCGCCGCGAUUCGUCACCCUCCCUUUCAGUAUUGCGUUAAAAUGGACCACGGGCAAGCAUUUCUCUUACUGGGGAUCACGGCCUGGUUUACCUGCGCGACGUCGGUGACCGUCCGCCAGACUCCCGCCGCGUUUUCCGCACUGGCCGGCGAUGGAAUGGAGUUGCAUUGUACGGCGGAAGGAGGGGGUGAUACUGAUCGUAUGUACUGGUACAGACAGUACCCGGGGAACGGACCUCAUUACCUGCUUUACUCACAGAACAACAUGCAUCUGGAACCGGAGGAGACGGCGGACGGGUUAACAGCCAAGAGGCAGGACAACCAGUUCAAGCUGAUUUCUAAAAGUUUGACUGCGAAUCACUCGGCUCGUUAUUUCUGCGCCUGGAGUUUACACAGCCGCCCGACCGGAUGGUGA
Mobula hypostoma (lesser devil ray) is the source of this 462-nucleotide non-coding RNA. The record is from the annotation of a RefSeq genome assembly. Lineage: Eukaryota; Metazoa; Chordata; Chondrichthyes; Myliobatiformes; Myliobatidae.